RNAcentral lists this ribosomal RNA (554 nucleotides) under uncultured archaeon. Its description in RNAcentral is "bacterial SSU rRNA". It matches the Rfam family "Archaeal small subunit ribosomal RNA", at positions 325 to 879 of the family's 1478-position model. The record is from RNAcentral.
ACGGGGCGCAGCAGGCGCGAAAACUUUGCAAUACACGAAAGUGUGACAAGGGGACUCCAAGUGUGCAUAUACCAUAUGCACUUUUUCGAAGUGCAAAAAGCUUUGGGAAUAAGGGGUGGGCAAGACUAGUGCCAGCCGCCGCGGUAAAACUAGCAUCCCAAGUGGCAGUCACCUUUACUGGGCUUAGAGCGUCCGUAGCUCGUCCGGAAAGUCCCUGGUGAAAUCCUAUGGCUUAACCAUAGGGCUUGCCAGGGAGACUCCUGGACUUGAAGGCAGGAGAGGUCGGGGGUACGUCCGGGGUAGGUGUGAAAUCCUAUAAUCCUAGACGGACCAACAGUGGCGAAGGCGCCCGACAUGAAUGCGCUUGACAGUGAGGGACGAGAGCCAGGGUCGCGAAACGGAUUAGAUACCCGUGUAGUCCUGGCCGUAAACGAUGUUGACUAGGUGGGGCGUGACCUUAGCGGUCAUGCUAUGCCGAAGGGAAACCGUUAAGUCAACCGCCCUGGGGAGUACGACCGCAAGGUUGAAACUUAGAGGAAUUGGCGGGGGAGCAC